ACAAUGGAGAGUUUGAUCCUGGCUCAGGAUGAACGCUAGCGGCAGGCUUAACACAUGCAAGUCGAGGGGUAGAAUGUCUUCGGAUGUUUGAGACCGGCGAACGGGUGCGUAACACGUAUGCAACCUACCUUUUACUGGGAGAUAGCCCGGAGAAAUCCGGAUUAAUAUCCCAUAUGCUCGUACGAUCUCCUGAUCGAGCGAGGAAAGCUCCGGCGGUAAAAGAUGGGCAUGCGUCCCAUUAGCUAGUUGGUGAGGUAAUGGCUCACCAAGGCUACGAUGGGUAGGGGGCCUGAGAGGGUGACCCCCCACACUGGUACUGAGACACGGACCAGACUCCUACGGGAGGCAGCAGUGAGGAAUAUUGGGCAAUGGAGGCAACUCUGACCCAGCCAUGCCGCGUGCAGGAUGACGGUCCUUUGGAUUGUAAACUGCUUUUAUUUGGGAAUAAACCCUUCUACGUGUAGAAGGCUGAAUGUACCAUUUGAAUAAGCACCGGCUAACUCCGUGCCAGCAGCCGCGGUAAUACGGAGGGUGCAAGCGUUAUCCGGAUUUAUUGGGUUUAAAGGGUCCGUAGGCGGAUCUUUAAGUCAGUGGUGAAAUCCUGCAGCUUAACUGUAGAAUUGCCAUUGAUACUGGAGAUCUUGAGUACACUGGAAGUAGGCGGAAUACGGCAUGUAGCGGUGAAAUGCAUAGAUAUGCCGUAGAACACCGAUUGCGAAGGCAGCUUACUAUCGUGUAACUGACGCUGAGGGACGAAAGCGUGGGUAGCGAACAGGAUUAGAUACCCUGGUAGUCCACGCCGUAAACGAUGAUUACUCGUUGUUAGCGAUACACUGUUAGCGACCAAGCGAAAGCUUUAAGUAAUCCACCUGGGGAGUACGCCGGCAACGGUGAAACUCAAAGGAAUUGACGGGGGCCCGCACAAGCGGUGGAGCAUGUGGUUUAA
RNAcentral lists this ribosomal RNA (946 nucleotides) under Schleiferiaceae bacterium. RNAcentral describes it as "bacterial SSU rRNA". It matches the Rfam family "Bacterial small subunit ribosomal RNA", at positions 1 to 949 of the family's 1533-position model. The record is from RNAcentral. Lineage: Bacteria; Pseudomonadati; Bacteroidota; Flavobacteriia; Flavobacteriales; Schleiferiaceae.